GAGAAAUAGAGUGGUCGGAUG
This 21-nucleotide non-coding RNA is filed under the name Caenorhabditis elegans. Lineage: Eukaryota; Metazoa; Nematoda; Chromadorea; Rhabditida; Rhabditidae. The record is from RNAcentral.